GACGAACGCUGGCGGCGUGCUUAACACAUGCAAGUCGAACGGAAAGGCCCUGCUUUUGUGGGGUGCUCGAGUGGCGAACGGGUGAGUAACACGUGAGUAACCUGCCCUUGACUUUGGGAUAACUUCAGGAAACUGGGGCUAAUACCGGAUAGGAGCUCCUGCUGCAUGGUGGGGGUCGGAAAGUUUCGGCGGUUGGGGAUGGACUCGCGGCUUAUCAGCUUGUUGGUGGGGUAGUGGCUUACCAAGGCUUUGACGGGUAGCCGGCCUGAGAGGGUGACCGGCCACAUUGGGACUGAGAUACGGAGCAGACUCCUACGGGAGGCAGCAGUGGGGAAUAUUGCACAAUGGGCGGAAGCCUGAUGCAGCAACGCCGCGUGCGGGAUGACGGCCUUCGGGUUGUAAACCGCUUUCGCAUGUGACGAAGCGUGAGUGACGGUAAUGGGUAAAGAAGCACCGGCUAACUACGUG
Molecule: ribosomal RNA, 468 nt
Filed under: uncultured bacterium
Lineage: Bacteria
Description: partial 16S ribosomal RNA
Rfam family: Bacterial small subunit ribosomal RNA
Source: RNAcentral